UAAUACGUAGNUCCCGAGCGUUGUCCGGAUUUAUUGGGCGUAAAGCGAGCGCAGGCGGUUAGGUAAGUNUGAAGUUAAAGGCUGUGGCUUAACCAUAGUACGCUUUGGAAACUGUUUAACUUGAGUGCAGAAGGGGAGAGUGGAAUUCCAUGUGUAGCGGUGAAAUGCGUAGAUAUAUGGAGGAACACCGGUGGCGAAAGCGGCUCUCUGGUCUGUAACUGACGCUGAGGCUCGAAAGCGUGGGGAGCGAACAGGAUUAGAUACCCUGGUAGUCCACGCCGUAAACGAUGAGUGCUAGGUGUUAGGCCCUUUCCGGGGCUUAGUGCCGCAGCUAACGCAUUAAGCACUCCGCCUGGGGAGUACGACCGCAAGGUUGAAACUCAAAGGAAUUGACGGGGGCCCGCGCAAGCGGUGGAGCAUGUGGUUUAAUUCGAAGCAACGCGAAGAACCUUACCAGGUCUUGACAUCCCGAUGCCCGCUCUAGAGAUAGAGUUUUACUUCGGUACAUCGGUGACAGGUGGUGCAUGGUUGUCGUCAGCUCGUGUCGUGAGAUGUUGGGUUAAGUCCCGCAACGAGCGCAACCCUUAUUGUUAGUUGCCAUCAUUCAGUUGGGCACUCUAGCGAGACUGCCGGUAAUAAACCGGAGGAAGGUGGGGAUGACGUCAAAUCAUCAUGCCCCUUAUGACCUGGGCUACACACGUGCUACAAUGGCUGGUACAACGAGUCGCAAGUCGGUGACGGCAAGCUAAUCUCUUAAAGCCAGUCUCAGUUCGGAUUGUAGGCUGCAACUCGCCUACAUGAAGUCGGAAUCGCUAGUAAUCGCGGAUCAGCACGCCGCGGUGAAUACGUUCCCGGGCCUUGUACACACCGCCCGUCACACCACGAGAGUUUGUAACACCCGAAGUCGGUGAGGUAACCUU
This 920-nucleotide ribosomal RNA is filed under the name uncultured bacterium. Its description in RNAcentral is "bacterial SSU rRNA". It matches the Rfam family "Bacterial small subunit ribosomal RNA", at positions 521 to 1442 of the family's 1533-position model. The record is from RNAcentral.